RNAcentral lists this ribosomal RNA (402 nucleotides) under uncultured microorganism. RNAcentral describes it as "bacterial SSU rRNA". It matches the Rfam family "Bacterial small subunit ribosomal RNA", at positions 9 to 407 of the family's 1533-position model. The record is from RNAcentral.
GAGUUUGAUCAUGGCUCAGAUUGAACGCUGGCGGCAUGCCUUACACAUGCAAGUCGAACGGCGGCAUGAUCUAGCUUGCUAGAUUGAUGGCGAGUGGCGAACGGGUGAGUAAUACAUCGGAACGUGCCCUGUAGUGGGGGAUAACUAGUCGAAAGAUUAGCUAAUACCGCAUACGACCUGAGGGUGAAAGUGGGGGACCGCAAGGCCUCAUGCUAUAGGAGCGGCCGAUGUCUGAUUAGCUAGUUGGUGGGGUAAAGGCCCGACCAAGGCGACGAUCAGUAGCUGGUCUGAGAGGACGAUCAGCCACACUGGGACUGAGACACGGCCCAGACUCCUACGGGAGGCAGCAGUGGGGAAUUUGGACAAUGGGCGAAAGCCUGAUCCAGCAAUGCCGCGUGUGUG